UACGUAGGUGGCAAGCGAUACUCGGAAUCACUAGGCGUAAAGCGCAGGUAGGCGGUUCGGUAAGUCUUUUGUGAAAGCUCCCGGCUUAACUGGGAGAGGUCAAGGGAAACUACCGGGCUAGAGUGUGGUAGGGGAUACUGGAAUUCCUGGUGUAGCGGUGAAAUGCGUAGAUAUCAGGAGGAAUACCUAUGGCGAAAGCAGGUAUCUGGGCCAUCACUGACGCUGAGCUGCGAAAGCUAGGGGAGCAAACAGG
This 253-nucleotide ribosomal RNA is filed under the name uncultured bacterium. RNAcentral's name for it is "partial 16S ribosomal RNA". It matches the Rfam family "Bacterial small subunit ribosomal RNA", at positions 524 to 776 of the family's 1533-position model. The record is from RNAcentral.